CCUACGGGAGGCAGCAGUGGGGAAUAUUGCACAAUGGGGGAAACCCUGAUGCAGCGACGCCGCGUGAGUGAAGAAGUAAUUCGUUAUGUAACGCUCUAUUAGCAGGGAAGAAAAUGACGGUACCUGAGUAAGAAGCCCCGGCUAACUACGUGCCAGCACCCGCGGUAAUACGUAGGGGGCAAGCGUUAUCCGGAGUUACUGGGUGUAAAGGGAGCGUAGACGGGAGUGCAAGUCGGAAGUGAAAUACCCGGGGUCAACCUGGGAAUUGCUUUGGAAACUGUAUGGCUGGAGUGCUGGAGAGGUAAGCGGAAUUCCUGGUGUAGCGGUGAAAUGCGUAGAUAUUAGGAGGAACACCGGUGGCGAAGGCGGCUUACUGGACAGUAACUGACGUUGAGGCUCGAAAGCGUGGGGAGCAAACAGGAUUAGAUACCCGAGUAGUC
This 440-nucleotide ribosomal RNA is filed under the name uncultured bacterium. Its description in RNAcentral is "partial 16S ribosomal RNA". It matches the Rfam family "Bacterial small subunit ribosomal RNA", at positions 338 to 795 of the family's 1533-position model. The record is from RNAcentral.